GAGGGUAUAGCUCAGGGGUAGCGCGUGUGCUUAGCAUGCAUGAGGUCCUGGGUUCAAUCCCCAGUGCCUCCA
This 72-nucleotide transfer RNA is filed under the name Camelus bactrianus (Bactrian camel). It matches the Rfam family "tRNA". From Rfam's summary of the family: Transfer RNA (tRNA) molecules are approximately 80 nucleotides in length. Their secondary structure includes four short double-helical elements and three loops (D, anti-codon, and T loops). RNAcentral also lists the same sequence under 2 other names. Lineage: Eukaryota; Metazoa; Chordata; Mammalia; Artiodactyla; Camelidae. The record is from Rfam by way of RNAcentral.